This is a non-coding RNA of Paramuricea clavata, 599 nucleotides long. NCBI's taxonomy places the organism in Eukaryota, Metazoa, Cnidaria, Anthozoa, Malacalcyonacea, Plexauridae. The record is from the annotation of a GenBank genome assembly.
UACUGGCCAUAUAGGAACCCAAACAUUUUGGCUUUAGGUACUAGCUUUUAUGCAAAUUAGAUAUCGAUCAAGGCACAUUUGUUGUUUGUAAAUAUAAACACAUUAAUGCUCAAAGCGCAAUGUAAGAUGUUCAAACAGAUGAAUCACCUGAUGCAUCUUAUUAAGUUAAGAAUGGCUUAAAUCAAAAUUCACACGAAGCAAUGUGCGGUAAAAAUUUUACUACUUAAAUCGAGACUUAAAUGUUCAUCACUAGAAAUAUGAAGAUAUGUUGUUUGUCGUCGACAAAAGUCAUGUCUGUUGCUUUUGUUUUUGUUUUACGGUGGACACUGCAGCCAGGAUUCAUAAAACUCGCUCUGACGUCUCCAUUUUCAGAAAAAUGUCAAGACGUAGCUGUACACGUUGGCAACCGAUACGGCCUGUCUCUUUCUGUUUCUGUUUCUUUCUUAAGUACUUUUCCUCUUUUACCUUCGUUUCACGAGCCGUUCCACGUCCAUCUUCUUCAUUUUCAUCUUGCCACUAUUUUUAUUUUUCAAAACCUAAUAUGAAACCAUUUUCCAUAACCACUUGAUAGAGACCACCGAAUUCAUUAAUCGACAAAC